RNAcentral lists this ribosomal RNA (253 nucleotides) under uncultured bacterium. RNAcentral describes it as "partial 16S ribosomal RNA". It matches the Rfam family "Bacterial small subunit ribosomal RNA", at positions 524 to 776 of the family's 1533-position model. The record is from RNAcentral.
UACGUAGGGUGCGAGCGUUAAUCGGAAUUACUGGGCGUAAAGCGUGCGCAGGCGGUGAUGUAAGACAGGUGUGAAAUCCCCGGGCUUAACCUGGGAACUGCAUUUGUGACUGCAUCGCUGGAGUGCGGCAGAGGGGGAUGGAAUUCCGCGUGUAGCAGUGAAAUGCGUAGAUAUGCGGAGGAACACCGGUGGCGAAGGCAAUCCCCUGGGCCUGCACUGACGCUCAUGCACGAAAGCGUGGGGAGCAAACAGG